AAUAAAUCAAUUUUUCAAUUUUUAUCUUUAAUUUUUAACUCUUCGUCUUAUUUAAAUUCUUUUAUAAUUGAUAUUUUUGUUUUUAUUAGAUGAUAAAUUAUAAAUAGUACUUUAUGUGUGACUAAUUUUUUUUUAAUUUACUGAAAAUUUUUCUAAUAAAACGGAUGAUCAAAAGUUAAACACAGAAACCGA
RNAcentral lists this microRNA precursor (192 nucleotides) under Oryza brachyantha (malo sina). Its description in RNAcentral is "MIR812 microRNA precursor family". It matches the Rfam family "MIR812 microRNA precursor family". Lineage: Eukaryota; Viridiplantae; Streptophyta; Magnoliopsida; Poales; Poaceae. The record is from Rfam by way of RNAcentral.